RNAcentral lists this ribosomal RNA (254 nucleotides) under uncultured bacterium. Its description in RNAcentral is "partial 16S ribosomal RNA". It matches the Rfam family "Bacterial small subunit ribosomal RNA", at positions 524 to 776 of the family's 1533-position model. The record is from RNAcentral.
UACGUAGGGUGCGAGCGUUGUCCGGAAUUAUUGGGCGUAAAGAGCUCGUAGGCGGUGUGUCGCGUCGGUCGUGAAAACUUGGGGCUUAACCCUGAGCUUGCGGUCGAUACGGGCAUCACUGGAGUUCGGCAGGGGAGACUGGAAUUCCUGGUGUAGCGGUGAAAUGCGCAGAUAUCAGGAGGAACACCGGUGGCGAAGGCGGCCCACUGGUCCGGUACUGACGCUGAGGUGCGAAAGCGUGGGGAGCAAACAGG